CACACUAAGCUAUAAUCGAUGUUCCGUGUUCGGCCACUGUUGGUAAACUUUCCUCCUUCCUUCGCUUAGGUUAACUUGUAUGCUCUGCUCACUCCUUCGAUUGAUCUUCUUCCUCCGCCAUCGACUGUCCCAAACUCCCGAUUUCCACUUCCGUCACUGCCAUUGCUGCUACCGCUAGUUGCAUCUCGAGUUUCUUCACUUCCUCCCACUUCAGCCACAGCCAUCGGUGCUACUGCUAGCUGCAUCUCCACCGCUUCCGCCAUCUCCACUUCAGCAACCUCCAAGCCGCGCAAGAAUCUGAGUGCGCAACCCACUGCCGGAGACUGACUGACGGACGAGGAUCUGGAAGGUGAUCCACAGUGCCAAGAAUCUGAGUGCGCAACCUCCCAAUCUGAUUGCGCAACCUCCUUUAGCAACCACCACUUCCGUACUUCCGCCAGCUCCGCUUCAGCUCCACAACCGCAAGUGCCAGCUCGACUAGCACUUUACUUUCCCUCUUUUCUCACACCAGGCUGACUGACGGACUCUCCGAAAUCCGAACCCAACCAGCUUCCCGGCUCAUCCCCAUCUCCGAGCUUUGUCUAAGCUGUUCCGGCGGCACAAGUGUGCAACCUAUUGAGGCCAUCUCCACCACUCCCUACCGUGUCCAACAUUCUUAGUGCAGUCCACUGGAUUUUCUCCCUAGAUUUUGCAGUUCUUGAUGGAUUGAAGGAGCUCUUGCAUGUUGCCUGUAGGUUGGUUCGUAGAUCCAUUGCUGGCAUUAGGGAAGAUUACAAAGGUAAUCUACUGAGACUGAGGGGAUGUGUCUUUUCAAAUAUGUGCUGAGACAAUGCUAAAUAUAUUCCUGAUCAGUGAAGUUAUCAUAAUUUGUAUUAAUGGAUUUUUGUGGACAUUUGGAUAAUUUGUAUUAGUGGAUAAUUUUUGGAUAAUUUGUAUUAGUGGACAUUUGGACAUUUAUGAUUGUAUUGGUGCAUAAUUUGUAGGCCUCAAGAUCAAGAAUAUGUGAAAAAUUGUAGUUAUUUCAUGCGCAAA
Molecule: non-coding RNA, 1032 nt
Organism: Coffea arabica (coffee)
Lineage: Eukaryota; Viridiplantae; Streptophyta; Magnoliopsida; Gentianales; Rubiaceae
Source: RefSeq, a predicted model, not a curated record